Molecule: ribosomal RNA, 494 nt
Filed under: uncultured bacterium
Lineage: Bacteria
Description: partial 16S ribosomal RNA
Rfam family: Bacterial small subunit ribosomal RNA
Source: RNAcentral
GAUGAACGCUGGCGGCGUGCCUAAUACAUGCAAGUCGAGCGAACAGACGAGGAGCUUUCUCGUCUGACGUUGUCGGCGGACGGGUGAUGAACACAUGGAUGACCUACCUAUAAGACUGGGGUAACUUCGGGGAACCGUGUCUAAGACCGGAUAAUAUAUUGAACCUCAUGGUUCAAGAGUUAAAGACGGUUUUUCUGUCACUUAUAGAUUGAUCCGCGACGGAUUAGCUAGUUGGUAAGGUAACUGCUUACCAAGGCAACGAUGCGUAGCCGACCUGGGAGGGUGACAGGCCUCACUGGAGAGGAGAAACGGUCACGCCUCCUCCGGGAGGCAGCCGUAGGGCCUACUCCGCGAUGCGGGAAAGAAUGACGGAGCAACGCCGCGUGAGUGAUGAAGGUCUUCGGAUUGUAAAACUAUGUUAUUAGGGAAGAAAAAAUGUGUAAGUAAGUAUGAUAGUCUCGACAGUAGGUAAACAGAAACCGACGAACAACUAC